GAUGAACGCUGGCGGCGUGCCUAAUACAUGCAAGUCGAGCGAACAGACGAGGAGCUUGCUCCUCUGACGUUAGCGGCGGACGGGUGAGUAACACGUGGAUAACCUACCUAUAAGACUGGGAUAACUUCGGGAAACCGGAGCUAAUACCGGAUAAUAUAUUGAACCGCAUGGUUCAAUAGUGAAAGACGGUUUUGCUGUCACUUAUAGAUGGAUCCGCGCGGCAUUAGCUAGUUGGUAAGGUAACGGCUUACCAAGGCGACCAUGCGUAGCCGACGUGAGCGAGGGAUAGCCGACCCGGGAGCGAGAACGGGAUCAAUACGACUACGAGACGCAGCAGUAUGCUACCUGACGCAAUGGGCGGAAGCCUGACAGAGCAGCGGCGCGUGAGUGAUAAAAGUGCUCGGAUCGGGAAAAUCGGUUAGUAGGGAAGAACAAAUGUGGAAGUAACUAUGCAGGUCUUGACGGUACCUGAUCAGAAAGCCACGGCUAACUACGUG
This 497-nucleotide ribosomal RNA is filed under the name uncultured bacterium. RNAcentral's name for it is "partial 16S ribosomal RNA". It matches the Rfam family "Bacterial small subunit ribosomal RNA", at positions 28 to 507 of the family's 1533-position model. The record is from RNAcentral.